AGUGAACGCUGGCGGUAGGCCUAACACAUGCAAGUCGAACGGCAGCACAAUAAGAGCUUGCUCUUACGGGUGGCGAGUGGCGGACGGGUGAGGAAUACAUCGGAAUCUACUUUUUCGUGGGGGAUAACGUAGGGAAACUUACGCUAAUACCGCAUACGACCUACGGGUGAAAGCAGGGGAUCUUCGGACCUUGCGCGAUUGAAUGAGCCGAUGUCGGAUUAGCUAGUUGGCGGGGUAAAGGCCCACCAAGGCGACGAUCCGUAGCUGGUCUGAGAGGAUGAUAAGCCACACUGGAACUGAGACACGGUCCAGACUCCUACGGGAGGCAGCAGUGGGGAAUAUUGGACAAUGGGCGCAAGCCUGAUCCAGCCAUACCGCGUGGGUGAAGAAGGCCUUCGGGUUGUAAAGCCCUUUUGUUGGGAAAGAAAAGCAGCAGGUUAAUACCCCGCUGUUCUGACGGUACCCAAAGAAUAAGCACCGGCUAACUUCGUG
RNAcentral lists this ribosomal RNA (492 nucleotides) under uncultured bacterium. RNAcentral's name for it is "partial 16S ribosomal RNA". It matches the Rfam family "Bacterial small subunit ribosomal RNA", at positions 29 to 507 of the family's 1533-position model. The record is from RNAcentral.